This is a long non-coding RNA of Pezoporus flaviventris, 2469 nucleotides long. RefSeq lists it as uncharacterized. NCBI's taxonomy places the organism in Eukaryota, Metazoa, Chordata, Aves, Psittaciformes, Psittacidae. The transcript has 6 exons. The record is from RefSeq and is a predicted model, not a curated record.
GGUUUGAAAACUGAGUUUUCCUGUAUACUGGAAGGCUGGUUUUCUGGAUACUCACAGGUUUUAUCAUGGUCAUUGAAAUUCAAUAUAAGAAGACAAAUCUGUCCUUGAUAUUAUUUACUCAUAGGUGCUUGUUUAAGGAAGUAGCUAUCAUGGAACAGCGUGAAAGUAUCAAUAGGCAUGUUGAUCACAGCAGAGGCAAUGCCACACAUACUUUUUUCUGCUGAAUGCAUACAAAUGCAGAACUCAUGACAUUCUCUGUUGCGCUAGCUGCUGUAUAAAAGAUUAAAGCUUGGAGCAGUUUGUUUAAUUAAUUCCAGUGUAGCAGAGUCCAUUGCUAGUAUGUGACCAAAGGCACUGAAACAAAGAGUGAUCUUCAGAACAUGUUAACUGCAGGAGAGCGGGGGCGACUUUCACAAAGGUCACGGAAAAGGGUCCGUCCCAGCUCAGUCGGUAAGUGAUCUCCCUGUAGGAGAGACCAAAUGCUGCUUUUACAUACAUGAGGAUCUUAUUUGCUCAUGAUGUGACAGUACAAAGGACAAUCAAAAUGAGUUAAUGUAUUCAUUCUUUUCUUCUUUCUCUUUCUUGAUGAGUCAUAAUUACUGAAAACUAAUAUAUUUUCCAACAUCAAAAUAUUUCAUUGGAUUAUCAAUAUUCUAGUGUACUCCUUACUCUUUCAUGUUCAGAAUGUGAAGGGGCUUGCUAGACUACAGCUUCCCAUAUUUCAUUAAGUAGUUUAUGCGUACAUGGUACUUUUCAGGAAAAUUAAAUAGCUAAUCUCAAAACCGAUAUUGUCAGGGUGCAGUGUAUAUGAAAUGGUAUGUUACACUGUCUUACCUUGUCAUUAUUUUCCCCUAAUGAAAAUCUAAAAAACCCCCAAAACCUAAAAUCAUUAAAUGAUUAUUUAAUAAUUUUACCAACAAAUAUUCUCACAUAUUGUGUUGUUUGUUGUUUUGUUUUGUUUUUUUCCUUACAAUCAGAAAAUACUGCCUACAAAAACCCUGUUGUUCCUUUUAUCUCUGCACAGGGUUACCUGAAAUGAUCUCAGUAUUUCCAUACAAGCGGUAAAAAGCUGCUCUUUCUAGUGUCAGACUUCCUUUCUAGUCCAGCAGAUUACCAUAGCACUGAGAGAACACUGACCUGCAUUUUGCAGCAGCACCCUUGGUACAGCAGUACUGACUAUUGGCUGGUACUGCAGGCAAGAUGCACAGCCUGUCAGCUCCUCACAACCUGCUAGAAGCUAGAGUGUGGAAAUAGGGACACCAGCUGCAUGUUCCUACUGGAUUUUGGCUCUUCUCCAGACAGGUACCCUGACCUCUGCUGUGGAGCCAGUCCAGCUGGCUUACUUCAUGUAAAGUUCAAAGUCUGCAUCAGAAAGACAUAGGCAGGCCACAGACUGAGUCUAAAACAUGGUUUUGGGCAUUGUCCUACAAGGUGGUGGAAGAAAUCUGCUCCACUGCAUUUAGGCAGAAAAGAAGGCUGAGUCCAGCACAUCACACACUGUGUGCAAGGACUCUAACUCUGGGUAUAAAAAUCCUUCCCUUCUGGGUGGUGAUAAAAAAGGCUCACAAAAUGCUCAGCUUCGCUGGUCCAGACUAAGGAGGCUGGGAAAGCCUGCUUUUCAAAUCUCAAUGGUGUUUAGUUAUGGCUUAGAUUGAGCUGAACCUUAGACACAUCUGCUCAAUAAUAAAAAGCAAAGGCACAUGGGCAUUCUUGAGAGCCCGGGAAGCAGUUUGUGGUCCCUGGAUAAGUGAGUGCAGAUUUGUCUGUGGCCACACAACUGUGGACUAGCUCCCUCUUCAGCACACUGGCCUGGGCCUGUGCCCCAUGUAUUGCCGUGGGAGCCUUAAAUCCAAAAAUUAUUUUUCAGAUGCUUUUUACAGCUGUGUCGUUCAGCUCUGCUGAGCAUGUGCAAUUGAGGAGACUAAGAGGAAAACUGCAAGUUGCCAGCAUAGUGAUCUUCAAAGAAGGCCACUUGCAUUGCUAAGGGAUGUGCUCGAUUAGUCUCUCUCUGGACUAAAGGCCCAGGGCAGCCAUGGGGCAAGGUGGUAUUUGCACAAAGAAGAGGAGACACAUUAGAGCAGGAAAUACAAUGGCAUUCAUGCCAAGACAACAAGUAGCCUUGGCUGAAAACUGCAGAGUGUGGUUAAGAUACCCUCCUGUCUAGACUGGGCUUCAAGGUGACCAGAGGAGUAGUAAACCUGGAGCCUCACUAAUGGCAGUGAAAGAAAAGUGGAAGAACUGAAAAAGUCUUUCUCAGCUCGGGUGUGAGGUGUUGCAUGGAUAAGGAGAGGCCUGGGGGACAGGCACCUAGGGACAGCAUUUGAGACCCAAGGCAGGGUAAGUGCAUGAGUUACAGGGACACCCAAGCACGCCACACGUCUGUGGCACACGCUGUAAUGUGCUAACCCCUGUAAACAGUGGUAUCUGCAGUUAAAAAUUAAAGUGAAGGGUGUUUAGCCUUCCCAUGUA